This 614-nucleotide ribosomal RNA is filed under the name uncultured bacterium. Its description in RNAcentral is "bacterial SSU rRNA". The stretch from base 1 to 523 matches the Rfam family "Bacterial small subunit ribosomal RNA", at positions 338 to 873 of the family's 1533-position model. The record is from RNAcentral.
CCUACGGGAGGCAGCAGUGGGGAAUAUUGCACAAUGGGCGGAAGCCUGAUGCAGCGACGCCGCGUGAGGGAUGACGGCCUUCGGGUUGUAAACCUCUUUCAGCAGGGACGAGCGCAAGUGACGGUACCUGCAGAAGAAGCGCCGGCCAACUACGUGCCAGCAGCCGCGGUAAGACGUAGGGCGCGAGCGUUGUCCGGAUUUAUUGGGCGUAAAGAGCUCGUAGGCGGCUUGUCGCGUCGACUGUGAAAUCCCGCGGCUCAACCGCGGGUCUGCAGUCGAUACGGGCAGGCUAGAGUUCGGUAGGGGAGACUGGAAUUCCUGGUGUAGCGGUGAAAUGCGCAGAUAUCAGGAGGAACACCGAUGGCGAAGGCAGGUCUCUGGGCCGAUACUGACGCUGAGGAGCGAAAGCGUGGGGAGCGAACAGGAUUAGAUACCCUGGUAGUCCACGCUGUAAACGUUGGGCGCUAGGUGUGGGGGGCCGUCUCCGGUUCUCUGUGCCGCGAGCUACGCAUAGCGCCCCGCCCGUCGGGAGGUACGGCCGGCGACGGACGUAAACCGUACGAAGAAGUAGACGGCGUGAGACGUGCCGACGGACGACCGACGAGGGAGGAGGG